This 477-nucleotide ribosomal RNA is filed under the name Candidatus Scalindua brodae. Its description in RNAcentral is "bacterial SSU rRNA". It matches the Rfam family "Bacterial small subunit ribosomal RNA", at positions 365 to 832 of the family's 1533-position model. The record is from RNAcentral. Lineage: Bacteria; Pseudomonadati; Planctomycetota; Candidatus Brocadiia; Candidatus Brocadiales; Candidatus Scalinduaceae.
UUCGCAAUGCCCGAAAGGGUGACGAAGCGACGCCGCGUGGGUGAGGAAGGCCUUCGGGUUGUAAAGCCCUGUCAGGAGUUAAGAAAUGUAGGUACGCUAAUAUCGUGCCUAUUUGACAAAGGCUCCAAAGGAAGCCACGGCUAACUCUGUGCCAGCAGCCGCGGUAAUACAGAGGUGGCAAGCGUUGUUCGGAAUUAUUGGGCGUAAAGAGCACGUAGGUGGUUUUGUAAGUCAGAUGUGAAAGCCUUCUGUUCAAAGGAAGAACGGCAUCUGAAACUGCGAAUCUUGAGUGUAGGAGGGGAGAAUGGAACUUCUGGUGGAGCGGUGAAAUGCGUAGAUAUCAGAAGGAACGCCGGCGGCGAAAGCGAUUCUCUGGCCUAUUACUGACACUCAGUGUGCGAAAGCUAGGGGAGCAAACGGGAUUAGAUACCCCGGUAGUCCUAGCUGUAAACGAUGGGCACUAAGUAGAGGGGUUUU